Molecule: RNA transcript, 4379 nt
Organism: Cornus florida
Lineage: Eukaryota; Viridiplantae; Streptophyta; Magnoliopsida; Cornales; Cornaceae
Gene name: lysine-specific histone demethylase 1 homolog 2
Exons: 3
Source: RefSeq, a predicted model, not a curated record
GACCGCACCAGAAAAAAACCCUAACUCCACUCUAACUCAAAAAAUCAACCGCUUCUAAAAAAUUCAACCCAGCGAUUCAACUUCGGAUCCCAACGGUACGUUCCCUACCUCUUGCGAUUCCUCUCCUAUGAACAAACUAGUUUUUCUUUUAGAGAUCUUUCACUGUAUUGUUGUUGCAAGCAAAUCGAAAAUAAGGACAUAAAUUCAUUUGUUCAUAUCAUAUUAUGGUGUCUUUGUGUUGUUACAGUCAAGUCUCACUCAGUAAGUUUGAUGAAAUCUAGGGUUUUCUUGUGUGAUACACCAAUUUGCGUUUGAGAACGUGAAUUACCAUGAAUUUUCCAUACUUGUGUUUCUUUGUAAUUGGAGUCAUUCUGAUAAAAGAUGGUUAACAGAAGAAGAAUAGUGGUUUCUGUUAAUGGGUUCCAAGAAAAUGAUGGAGAAAACGCCCAGUUGUUUAUAGUUAGAUAUGCACAGUGGUGCUGAAGUGAAAUGGCUAGUUGGGUUGUUAAUGGGCUUGCAAGGUCAAUUUAUUUGAAUUUGAGUUGAAAGACUCGGGGGGAGUUCUUGAUACACGAUGAUAGAGACCACUGCUAUGGGUGGUGGUUCGGUUGCAAAGCGACCAUUGAGAAAGAGAGCGGUUUCGCGGAAUUAUGAUGAGAAUUUGAUGGAUGACCUCAUAGAUAAGCAUUUGGGUGCUUCUCUGAGGAAAAGGAACAGAACUAAGGAAGAUUUGGAGAAAGAAACUGAAACUGAGGCAAUGAUUGCUCUUUCUCUGGGCUUUCCGAUUGAUGCAUUGCUGGAAGAGGAAAUUCAAGCCGGGGUUGUGGAGGAAUUGGGUGGGAAAGAGCAAAAUGAUUAUAUUGUUGUGAGGAACCAUAUUCUUGCAAAGUGGAGGGAUAAUGUACGGAUGUGGCUCUCAAAAGGACAGAUAAAGGAAACAGUGAGUAGUGAGUAUGAACAUUUGAUAUAUUCAGCUUAUGACUUUCUUUUACACAACGGUUAUAUAAAUUUUGGGGUUUCGCCGGCGUUCACGUCCCAAAUUCCAGAGGAUGCUACUGAAGGGUCUGUAAUAAUUGUUGGUGCUGGCCUUGCUGGAUUAGCGGCAGCAAGGCAACUCUUGUUGUAUGGUUUCAAGGUCGUUGUACUUGAAGGUAGGAAUCGACCUGGGGGAAGAGUUUAUACUCAGAAGAUGGGACGUAAAGGUAACUAUGCUGCCGUAGAUCUUGGUGGCAGUGUUAUAACAGGUAUUCAUGCCAAUCCUCUGGGAGUUUUGGCUAGACAACUCUCCAUUCCUCUUCAUAAGGUUAGAGAUAAAUGCCCACUGUACAAGCCUGACGGUACACUUGUUGAUCACAAAAUUGAUUCCAAUGUUGAGCUCAUCUUUAAUAAGCUACUUGACAAAGUCACCGAAUUGAGACAAAUAAUGGGUGGAUUUGCAAAUGAUAUCUCUUUGGGUACAGUUUUGGAGACACUUAGACAAUUGUAUGCGGUGGCUAGAAAUACUGAAGAAAGACAACUUCUUGAAUGGCAUUUUGCCAACUUGGAAUAUGCCAAUGCCGGAUGCUUGUUGAAUCUAUCUGCUGCCUAUUGGGAUCAGGAUGAUCCUUAUGAGAUGGGAGGUGAUCAUUGCUUUCUUGCUGGUGGAAAUUGGAGACUAAUUAAAGCAUUGUGCGAGGGAGUCCCCAUUUUUUAUGGAAAGACUGUUCAUACUAUUAGAUAUGGAAAUGAAGUUGUUGAGGUCCUUGCUGGGGACCAAAUGUUUCAAGCAGAUAUGGUGCUCUGCACUGUGCCUCUUGGGGUUCUGAAGAAAAAGACUAUCAGAUUCGAACCAGAGUUACCUGCAAGAAAGCUUGCAGCUAUUGAAAGAUUGGGUUUUGGGUUGUUGAAUAAGGUUGCAAUGGUGUUCCCUUAUGUUUUUUGGGGGGAAGACCUGGACACAUUUGGCUGUCUUAAUGAGUAUAGCCAUAAAAGGGGAGAAUUUUUUUUGUUUUACAGUUACCACACUGUUUCUGGAGGUCCAGUACUUAUUGCACUGGUAGCCGGGGAAGCUGCACAAUCUUUUGAAUACAUGGAUCCAUCCAGUUUGCUUCAUCAUGUUUUAAGCAUCCUCAGAGGUAUAUACAGUCCAAAGGGCAUUGAUGUACCUAAUCCUGUACAAACUAUAUGUACAAGAUGGGGCAGUGAUCCGCUUUCGCAUGGUUCGUACUCUCAUGUCAGAGUACAAUCAUCUGGCAGUGAUUAUGAUGUACUUGCAGAAAGCGUGGGGAGCCGGCUGUUCUUUGCUGGUGAAGCUACGAAUCGGCAACACCCAGCCAGCAUGCAUGGUGCCUUCUUGAGUGGUUUAAGAGAAGCUUCAUGCAUUUUCCGAGCCAUGAGGACUCGGCCAAGUGAUCCUAGGAAGUCCAUACAAAAGAGUGUUGGUCCAAAUACUGAUAUUCUAGUAAAACUGUUCAGGAAGCCUGAUCUAGCAUUUGGAAAGUUCUCGUUUAUAUUUUAUCCUUCGACAGAGGACCCGAAAUCAAUGGGGCUUGUGAGGGUUACCUUUGGAAAGUCCAGUAGUGAAUUUAGCAGCGAGGAUUGUAACAAAAGGGAGACAGAGAACAGCUGUCAACAUUCUUUAAGCCAACCACUGCAGCUUUAUACGGUAUUAUCUCGUGAACAGGCAUAUCAGUUACAAUUGGUGACUGGAGGGGAUAAGAGUAGAUUAUCAUUUUUAUUAGAAAAUCUUGGCUUGAAGCUAAUGGGAGCUAAUGCUUUAGGACUCUUGGGUAACUCCUUGACCGCUAACAUUGCCAGUGCACGAAGAGGCAGGGGCAGGAAUCGCGUGUCUGUUGGACAACAAAAUACUUUCUUGACAAGCUACAAUUCUUAAUGGAUUGGCUUUCAGGCACUUGCUUCAUUAGCAUGGAUAAUUCUGAAGCAAGCACACACUUUCAUGGAAGGAUACUGAAAGGUUGGCUUUCCAUUGCUUCUUAGGUGCACUCUUUUUGUGUGAAUCUAACCUAGGUGCUUAUACGGUGACUCGGCAAGAAAUAGAUUACUUGGAGGUGACUUCGGUAGGCCAUUGUUUUGUCUACUAUGAAAUUUUUGUUGAUUCUGGCAGUGACCAAUAUAGCCAAAAAGGGUUGGGGUGGUAGAAGCCUAUAUCCCCAGAAGUAGCUUUUAUUAGUUGGGAUGAAGCAUUUUGAGAAGAAUGCAAGUAGCUCUGCAUGGAUUCUUGGUAAUUUCAUUUAGUGAUUUUACCCACACACAGAAAUUGGUUCCUUUCGAGAUUUACAUGGAUAGCUCAUUUGUUUUGUCUACUGUGGAGCUUUUGUUGAAUUUGCAGUGACAAUAAGCUGUUUAACUCUGGAACCAGAACACUGUUAGUUGAUUAUAUAGCAAUAGAUGUUGAGUGGGUCAAAUAUUAUAUCUGCUGAAGCGGGAGGAAGCCUCAAGAAGAAUCCGUGGAGUUUGUUCUGCAUGGUCUUGGCAAUGUCAUGCCUGUAUCCGUGAAGGAUAUAUAGAGUGGUGUUGGAGAGGUGGUUGUUCAUGGCCAAGAACGAGGAAGAUGCAGGACGGUGCUUCUCUUUGGUUUUUGUGGCGAGGCAAUGUGCAGAUGGUUUGUUUCUGGCAUAAUAUUUGUUGCAUUAAUACUCCUACAAAAAAUAGUUCCUGGUCUUGCUAGUAGCAUGAUGGGUAAAUAUGUUUUUGUGCCAAAUUAUAUGUUCGGAUCAAAUAAACAGUGUGUGGGAUCGUUGAUUUGUCAGAGCAGUGGAUGGAGCAGGAGUGAGUCUGCUGAUGGUUUCUUUGACAUGAAUGUGGUUCCUCUGCAAGUUGGGGAGAAUUGUGGUGGUGGUAAGCUGCAAAACUGAUAUCUAUUGGUUACCAACGGGCUAGUGGCCCAGCGGUAUCAGUCUCUUACUUUCCAAAGGGAGAUCAGGGUUCAAGUCCAAAAGAGACAAGUGUGUGUGAAUACCAACUAGGAAAAAAAGAUAUUUAUUGGUUAGUACUUGCUAUAAGUAUUUUAUGUGGAGGAGUGAUGCUUCUUUUCCUUGGAAAGUAUUUGGUUAUCCAGGUUCUGUGUUCUAAAAUUUCAUUCUUUGUUUUGUAUGGCCUUGAAGAAAACUCUCAUAAUUGGCAACACUAAGAGGGGAAAGUUUUGGAUUAAUUUUUGUUGUCAAUCAUAUUUUUUUUACAGGCAAUGUGUUAGAGGAGGGUCUUGUCAGUUGUCAUACAUUGGCUCCGAAUGGGAAAGAUCUUAGGCUCAUAAGGUCGGAAAAGCAGUACCUACCAAGGAGAAUGUUUUGGCUUAAUUCUUUAAUUGUUUCUUAAUACAGGGUUGUUCUUUAACUUUACAUUAGUAAAUAUGGUAGUACACUCACCUCUAAUUACUGCUC